GCUAAAAACCAUGGGCAAAGUUCGGAACGAACUCUGGUAUUGAUUGGUGCUUGCAUCAUGAUUUACAUUUGAGUGAGUGGCGAACUGGUGAGUAACACGUGGGAAACCUGCCCAGAAGCGGGGGAUAACACCUGGAAACAGAUGCUAAUACCGCAUAACAACUUGGACCGCAUGGUCCGAGCUUGAAAGAUGGCUUCGGCUAUCACUUUUGGAUGGUCCCGCGGCGUAUUAGCUAGAUGGUGGGGUAACGGCUCACCAUGGCAAUGAUACGUAGCCGACCUGAGAGGGUAAUCGGCCACAUUGGGACUGAGACACGGCCCAAACUCCUACGGGAGGCAGCAGUAGGGAAUCUUCCACAAUGGACGAAAGUCUGAUGGAGCAACGCCGCGUGAGUGAAGAAGGGUUUCGGCUCGUAAAACUCUGUUGUUAAAGAAGAACAUAUCUGAGAGUAACUGUUCAGGUAUUGACGGUAUUUAACCAGAAAGCCACGGCUAACUACGUGCCAGCAGCCGCGGUAAUACGUAGGUGGCAAGCGUUGUCCGGAUUUAUUGGGCGUAAAGCGAGCGCAGGCGGUUUUUUAAGUCUGAUGUGAAAGCCUUCGGCUCAACCGAAGAAGUGCAUCGGAAACUGGGAAACUUGAGUGCAGAAGAGGACAGUGGAACUCCAUGUGUAGCGGUGAAAUGCGUAGAUAUAUGGAAGAACACCAGUGGCGAAGGCGGCUGUCUGGUCUGUAACUGACGCUGAGGCUCGAAAGUAUGGGUAGCAAACAGGAUUAGAUACCCUGGUAGUCCAUACCGUAAACGAUGAAUGCUAAGUGUUGGAGGGUUUCCGCCCUUCAGUGCUGCAGCUAACGCAUUAAGCAUUCCGCCUGGGGAGUACGGCCGCAAGGCUGAAACUCAAAGGAAUUGACGGGGGCCCGCACAAGCGGUGGAGCAUGUGGUUUAAUUCGAAGCUACGCGAAGAACCUUACCAGGUCUUGACAUACUAUGCAAAUCUAAGAGAUUAGACGUUCCCUUCGGGGACAUGGAUACAGGUGGUGCAUGGUUGUCGUCAGCUCGUGUCGUGAGAUGUUGGGUUAAGUCCCGCAACGAGCGCAACCCUUAUUAUCAGUUGCCAGCAUUAAGUUGGGCACUCUGGUGAGACUGCCGGUGACAAACCGGAGGAAGGUGGGGAUGACGUCAAAUCAUCAUGCCCCUUAUGACCUGGGCUACACACGUGCUACAAUGGAUGGUACAACGAGUUGCGAACUCGCGAGAGUAAGCUAAUCUCUUAAAGCCAUUCUCAGUUCGGAUUGUAGGCUGCAACUCGCCUACAUGAAGUCGGAAUCGCUAGUAAUCGCGGAUCAGCAUGCCGCGGUGAAUACGUUCCCGGGCCUUGUACACCACCCUCUCUAGUCACACCUAUGAGCAGUUUUGUUCAAACCC
Molecule: ribosomal RNA, 1424 nt
Filed under: Lactiplantibacillus plantarum
Lineage: Bacteria; Bacillati; Bacillota; Bacilli; Lactobacillales; Lactobacillaceae
Description: bacterial SSU rRNA
Rfam family: Bacterial small subunit ribosomal RNA
Source: RNAcentral